Molecule: long non-coding RNA, 842 nt
Filed under: Rosa chinensis
Lineage: Eukaryota; Viridiplantae; Streptophyta; Magnoliopsida; Rosales; Rosaceae
Description: sRNA RchiOBHm_Chr2g0087811
Source: RNAcentral
UUCUAUCUUUUCGUUUUUCCUCUCAUUACUCUUCCUUCAAUCGCCUCUUGGAAAGCCUCAUUGUCAUCUAUGUGUCUAAAUUUUCUGUAGAAACUGAGAUCCUAAAACAGCUACUGCUCUUUCAUCCAUCUAAAACAAACUUAGAAUUAAGGACUUUUUUCCAGCUUAUGUUUCUUUUGAUCGCCCUCACCAUCGGUGCCAAAUACACGUCCGAUUGACGAACGACUUUCGAAUUCGUAGGAGAUGGCACAUUGAGUGGACGGAACACACCUGUUUAUGCGAAGACUUUAGCUUUAGGAUUGAGCAACGAAACAAUGGUGUGCUUGCACUUCCUCAAGGUUUCACCGGCAACGCUUACGUCCUGGCUAAAUCGCUAUUAAUUACCCCAACGCUCUGCUGCAAUAUAUCUCAUUUACUCACACAAAGCCAUGUCCAACAUUUAACUUCCUCGGGCGCGACAAGGGCCCGGAGAAGAAGCUUCAAAUUAGUAGAUGGUGAUAGCUUCAACGAUGACUUCCUCCCAUCACGGCUGCAGAAACUUUACCUGCUCGAUGAAGAUGAUACCAAUAGUACUAUAGAGUUCUGCGAGUUUCAUGGUGUUAAAGUACCAUGAGAAUGUCCAUAAAGAUCACAAUGAUCCUUGUUGUGAAAAUGCCAAAGUUAAACACCAUAUUUAUAUCUCCCUAACAUGACUAGUAUUUUGUACCUGAACUAAUAACAGAAUGAUCCUCACCAGAAAAAGAGAAAGAGAAGGUCAACUACUUCUUUCAUACUAUCAAAUCCGAAAUCAAACCCUGUAUGGGAUAAAAGGAGAUAUUCAAUGUCCGUCGUUCAGUAUUUGA